This 713-nucleotide long non-coding RNA is filed under the name Chinchilla lanigera (long-tailed chinchilla). RNAcentral describes it as "lncRNA (ENSCLAG00000024335.1)". Lineage: Eukaryota; Metazoa; Chordata; Mammalia; Rodentia; Chinchillidae. The record is from RNAcentral.
AUGUGUCCAAAAAUCCUAGCACAAGAUCUUGGUCCUUCCCAACCUGGGGACCAGAAGGCUUUUUGGCCUGAGAAAGAUAAGUGUGACAUCAGUUUCCUGUUGUUGGCCACCAUUAUUGUGCAAAUAGGUAAACAUAGAGACGCCUGUUUUUCUGUUGUUUUCUCUUCAGUCCACCUACAAAUCUCACCCACUCCACUACGGGCAAUUCCAACACCACAGACAGCUUCUAUAAAGAAAGAAAAACACAACCCAUUCAAGAUAACAAAAAAUGGAUGCUGCACUUCAACAAACUUGAGGGAUGGCUGAGAAAACAUGAGAUCAAAAAUAUAACUAAGACGUGAUUCCUCCAAAUGAUUUACUUGCAAAUAUCAAGUUGCAGUGAGACCUGCCAGAAUGCUGUCAGAAGAGCGAGAAAAGACUGAGAGAGGGCUGGGGAUAUAACUCAGUGGCACAAGCGCCUGCCAGGCAAGCGCAAGGUCCUAAGUUCGAUUCCCAUUACCAAAAAAAAAAAAAAAGGUUUCUAACACAAGCCGAUUCCAUCGCUGGGAUUUUGAAGCCAUUGAAGGAAGACUGAAAAUAUCCACACUGAGCAAGUUAGCUAACGACAUUAACCUCUUCUCUGAACUGGUUCCCCCUUUCAGGGUUCCAAAGUCUUGCCUUACAAACACGUUUCCCGAAGAUGUUUUCGUUUCACCUAUUAACUGCAACACACA